GCGCCCGUAGCUCAAUCGGAUAGAGCAUCAGCCUUCUAAGCUGAGGGAAGCAGGUUCGAGUCCUGCCGGGCGCGCCA
RNAcentral lists this transfer RNA (77 nucleotides) under Bacteroidota bacterium. RNAcentral describes it as "Bacteroidetes bacterium (bioreactor sludge metagenome) tRNA-Arg". It matches the Rfam family "tRNA". From Rfam's summary of the family: Transfer RNA (tRNA) molecules are approximately 80 nucleotides in length. Their secondary structure includes four short double-helical elements and three loops (D, anti-codon, and T loops). The record is from RNAcentral. Lineage: Bacteria; Pseudomonadati; Bacteroidota.